UAAAAGUGGUAGUGACUCGGCAUGAAGAGUGAGUCGCACCAGGGUUCGAGCAAAAGAUUGGUACCCCGAGAGAAGUUUAUAAACUUCUCCCUUCUCGAUGAUGACGUGAGAUCGUCUCGCGGGCACACGAGAAUAUGACUUAGAGGAGUUCUGAUCAAACAUCCUCUGCUGUCCCCAGAAUCUUCCCUGAAGCGAAGGUCUGUGGUCGGGUUUGUGCUAAACCAGAGAAUCAUGCUCUCUGUCGGUUAGCGAUAUGAGGUAAUCUAAAUUACCUCUUUUUUUUUUUUGCUUUUUCUUUUUAGUUUAGAAUUGAGUUUUAAAUAUGUUCUGCUAAAUAUGCAAAGCCCUUAAGUCGGUUCUGGUUCGUUGUCCAUUUCCGAUGUUUUUUGGGAUUUUGUUUGUUCGUUCUAAAACGUUCGUAGAGAAGAGUUACAGAGAUUUGAAGUCUCUAGUCUAAACCCUCUAAACUGCACAUAAUGAUCCGCAAGUUUGAAAGAUAAAGGUGUUUUUCUUUUGCUCCGUUCUAAGAAGAAUUACAGGACCAUAAGUAUAUUUUUAACAUUUUCAUCAUAUAAAUAUAUACUCUUUAAUUCGAUUGCUUUGAAAUGAGCUCAUAUAAAUUUUUUUUAAAAAAAACACACAAAAGAGUAGGAACAAAUCAUGCAUUGAAGAAGGGACGAUCUUUAGCAGCUUCAGUGAGAGCAAAGAACUUCCUAAAG
This 719-nucleotide long non-coding RNA is filed under the name Eutrema salsugineum. Its description in RNAcentral is "long non-coding RNA (ESAL_LNC000301)". Lineage: Eukaryota; Viridiplantae; Streptophyta; Magnoliopsida; Brassicales; Brassicaceae. The record is from RNAcentral.